UUGUAAGGACAAUUUAAAUGAACUUCUCAUUCUCAAUAAGGAGAAAGUAUGUAGAUGCGGAAACCGAUUAAACUAUUCUUAUGAUGCAGAGGACGAUCUGCUUUACCCAGAAAAUCCUUGUUCAACGUACGAACAAUUCACUGAUCUUGAAAAAAGGUUGGCGGAGCAAAGGAACGCUACGGCUUUCACGAAUUCUGUGAAGAAUAGAGGUGGAAAGAAUACUCCUAUCGCAGUGAGACUAGAAAUACAAAGAAUUAUGACAAACGAAUUGUGCCUUCAGUUUAGUUGGGCAGGAAAAAGUAAUAGCGGGAAACGUAAGAGGACUUUUUGAACCAACGACUGUUCGUAAACUGUUUGUGGAAAUGAUUUUAUCAUGCAGACGAGGCAAGAGGAUGCAUUUUUUAAGUCGUCAAAAUAAUGUUUCAUCACUUACUUUCAUGCUUUAUUAUUUCUUUUUAUUCUUUA
Molecule: long non-coding RNA, 465 nt
Organism: Belonocnema kinseyi
Lineage: Eukaryota; Metazoa; Arthropoda; Insecta; Hymenoptera; Cynipidae
Exons: 3
Source: RefSeq, a predicted model, not a curated record